This 255-nucleotide ribosomal RNA is filed under the name uncultured bacterium. RNAcentral's name for it is "partial 16S ribosomal RNA". It matches the Rfam family "Bacterial small subunit ribosomal RNA", at positions 524 to 776 of the family's 1533-position model. The record is from RNAcentral.
UACGAAGGGGGCUAGCGUUGUUCGGAAUUACUGGGCGUAAAGGGCGCGUAGGCGGCGUGUCAAGUCAGGCGUGAAAGCCCCGGGCUCAACCUGGGAACCGCGCUUGAGACUGGCAUGCUCGAGUUCGGGAGAGGAUGGUGGAAUUCCCAGUGUAGAGGUGAAAUUCGUAGAUAUCGGGAGGAACACCAGUGGCGAAGGCGGCUCUCUGGGCAGAUACUGACGCUGAGACGCGAAAAGCAUGGGGGAGCAAACAGG